Molecule: transfer RNA, 87 nt
Filed under: Rickettsiales bacterium
Lineage: Bacteria; Pseudomonadati; Pseudomonadota; Alphaproteobacteria; Rickettsiales
Description: tRNA-Leu
Rfam family: tRNA
About the family: Transfer RNA (tRNA) molecules are approximately 80 nucleotides in length. Their secondary structure includes four short double-helical elements and three loops (D, anti-codon, and T loops). Further hydrogen bonds mediate the characteristic L-shaped molecular structure. tRNAs have two regions of fundamental functional importance: the anti-codon, which is responsible for specific mRNA codon recognition, and the 3' end, to which the tRNAs corresponding amino acid is attached (by aminoacyl-tRNA synthetases). tRNAs cope with the degeneracy of the genetic code in two manners: having more than one tRNA (with a specific anti-codon) for a particular amino acid; and 'wobble' base-pairing, i.e. permitting non-standard base-pairing at the 3rd anti-codon position.
Source: RNAcentral
GCCUCUGUGGUGGAAUUGGUAGACGCGAUAGACUCAAAAUCUGUUGUCCCUUGGGACGUGUCCGUUCAAGUCGGACCAGAGGCACCA